Nerophis ophidion (straightnose pipefish) is the source of this 4518-nucleotide long non-coding RNA. RefSeq lists it as uncharacterized. The record is from RefSeq and is a predicted model, not a curated record. The transcript has 2 exons. Lineage: Eukaryota; Metazoa; Chordata; Actinopteri; Syngnathiformes; Syngnathidae.
CUUUCAUCACCCGUUAUGACGCUGACCAAUGAGCGAGCGUCUCGUUGGUGUCGCCUUUGCGGCGGCCAAUCAGAGAGCGAGAAGACUUUACCCGCAAAUGACCGCCAAACAGCCUUUAUGUAACGGCCAACAAAAACGUAGCCAAGCGCUGUCCUCGUGCUCCCCCCGUCUUUAAUUUAUGGCUGUUUAUCACCAAACAUGUCGUCAAAGUAAACUACCGUUGAGAUAGCAACGGUACCCAAACAACAUAAAGGUGAUUAAAGAGCGUAACUUACCCGCCCCUGUGCCGCAGCACGGCGGGAUCCACCAGGCGGACGAGAAGAGCGUCGUCAUGACUUCCUCCGGGAACAGCGUCACGUUUCUCUGGAUCUGCAGCAAGUUGAGCACCAGGGCGAGCAGCACCCCCACGGUGAAGAGCACCAGCCCCCGCCGGAUAAGGUUGAACGUCCGGUCCCGCUGCAGGGAGCCGUGGGCGCUGCUCAGCACCGAGGCGAUGACCGACAUCAUCUCCCCGCCUUUGGACGCCAACCAGCCGGAGGAGGACGGCGAGUGUUUGCUCUCCACGCUCGGCGCACAGGAGCAGCUCCAGCAGGGCUCCUCCAGGCUGGACAUUUGGCACUUCUUAAAGCUGGGCGUCGAGUUGGUUAGUUCCUCGUCAUGACGCUGGCAGGAAAGAAGGAGACAUGAAAGACCGAAGGAGGCAUUUAAAGGUGUCACUGGUCGGAGGAAGCUUCCACCACUGAGGCCACACGAUCACAGCUGUGUAGGGUGAGACUCGGCAGCCAAUCAGGGGCCGGCGUCUGAUAUGACGUCACUUCACCCCACCUCUCCACGCGCCACAACAACAUUUUUUUCUUUCUUUUACGCAGGGGCGUCACUAGCUUUUAAGGACAGGGGGGGAGAUGAACAGGAUGUGAGCGAACGUAACGCACGAGUACAAAACUUUACAAACGUCUAACAAAGACCUAGAAAUUCCAUCCAUCCAUCUUCUUCCGCUUAUCCGAGGUCGGGUCGCGGGGGCAGCAGCCUAAGCAGGGAAGCCCAUUGAUUGAUUGAUUGAUACUUUUAUUAGUAGAUUGCACAGUUCAGUACAUAUUCCGUACAAUUGACCACUAAAUGGUAACACCCGAAUACGUUUUUCAACUUGUUUAAGUUAAUCAAUUCAUGGUAGACUUCCCUCAGGGGUGUCAAACUCAAAUACAAAGUGGGCCAAAAUUUGAAACCGAACAAAGCCGCGGGCCAAGGUUGAACAAAUUAACCUUUUAAUAGGGACCCAAACAAUUUUUGCAUUGAAUAUUGAACAAGCAAGGCUUAUAUAACUUUAUAGUGACAAGCAAAAUCGAGUUUCAAGUUAUAAUAAUAAUAAUUAAAAAAUCUUAUUGGCAUCCAUCCAUCCAUUUUCUACCGCUUAUUCCCUUUUGGGGUCGCGGGGGGCGCUGGCGCCUAUCUCAGCUACAAUCAGGCGGAAGGCAGGGUACACCCUGGACAAGUCGCCACCUCAUCGCAGGGCCAACACAGAUAGACAGACAACAUUCACACUCACAUUCACACACUAUCAAAUAAAAUUUAAAUAAGAAUUGGAGGUAGCGGGGGUGUAUAUUGUAGCACCUCGGAAGAGUUAGUGCUGCAAGGGGGUCUGGGUAUUUCUUCUGUUGUGUUUAUCUCAGUAGAAGCAUUUAAGUCUCACCUUAAAACUCAUUUGCAUACUCUAGCCUUUAAAUAGACUCCCUUUUUAGACCAGUUGAUCUGCCGUUUCUUUUCUUUUUCUCCUAUGUCCCACUCUCCAUUGUGGAGGGGGUCCGGUCCGAUCCGGUGGCCAUGUACUGCUUGCCUGUGUAUCGGCUUGGGACAUCUCUGCGCUGCUGAUCCGCCUCCGCUUGGGAUGGUUUCCUGCUGGCUCCGCUGUGAACGGGACUCUCGCUGCUGUGUUGGAUCCGCUUUGGACUGGACUCUCGCGGCUGUAUUGGAUCCAUUAUGGAUUGAACUUUCACAGUAUCAUGUUAGACCCGCUCGACAUCCAUUGCUUUCGUCCUCUCCAAGGUUAUCACAGUCAUCAUUGUCACCGACGUCCCACUGGGUGUGAGUUUUCCUUGCCCUUAUGUGGGCCUACCGAGGAUGUCGUAGUGGUUUGUGUUGUGCUUUGUGCAGCCCUUUGAGACACUAGUGAUUUAGGGCUAUAUAAGUAAACAUUGAUUGAUUGAUUGAUGUUGUGUUACGGUGCGGAUGUUCUCCCAAAAGGUGUUUGUCAUUCUUGUUUGGUGUGGGUUCACAGUGUGGCGCAUAUUUGAAAUGGUGUUAAAGUUGUUUACACGGCCACCCUCAGUGUGACCUGUAUGGCUGUUGACCAAGUAUGCCUUGCAUUCACUUGUGUGUGUUAAAGCCGCAUGUAUUAUGUGACUGUGCUGGCAUGUUGUUUGUAUGGCGGAAAAGCGGACGUGACGGCAGGCUGUAGAGGACGCUAAAGGCAGUGCCUUCAAGACACACCCCCAGUAUUGUUGUCCGGGUGAACUUUAACUCCUCCCGCUGGAUCUUUCCUAGUUACCGAUCAACCUGACUAGGAUUUAAACCCAGUCCUCUUUGAUCGGGAGAUACCUGUUUUGACCACUCAGCCAUCCUUGGUCUUCUUAAAGGGAGAUUUCGGGCCCCAAUGAAAUUUUUAAUUGAUAACCUGUCUCAGUAAACUAUGAUAUAAAAGCUUUCCUAGUUACCGAUUGAUCUGACUAGGAUUUGAACCCAGUCCCUUUUGAUUGGGAGCGAGCUGUUUAACUAUUUUCAGGAGCGGCACUGAACUUCGGGAGUCUCCCGGGAAAAUCGUGAGGGUUGGCAAGUAUAAAGUAUCAGCGGUGAAUGCGGUGUUACAGAGGCACCGCCGCUGAAUAAUACCGGCGGGCCAGCUCUAAUCUUAAUUUGAUAUUACCAAAUGAACCUCGGGCCAUAGUUUGACACCCAUGGUCUAGCUCUUCCCGGGGGAUCCUGAAGCAUUCCCAGGCCAGCCGGGAGACAUAGUCUUCCCAACGUGUCCUGGGUCUUCCCCUUGGCCUCCUACAGGUCCGACGUGCCCUAAACACCUCCCUAGGGAGGCAUUCGGGUGGCAUCCUGACCAGAUGCCCGAACCACCUCAUCUGGCUCCUCUCGAUGUGGAGGAGCAGCGGCUUUACUUUGAGUUCCUCCCGGAUGGCAGAGCUUCUCACCCUAUCUCUAAGGGAGAGCCUUGCCACCCGGCGGAGGAAACUCGUUCAUCUGGCCGGGAUCUUCAGCUCUCACUGGAUCGGUUCGCAGCCGAGUGUGAAGCGAUUGGAAUGAGAAUCAGCACCUCCAAGUCCGAGUCCAUGGUUCUCACCCGGAAAAGGGUUGGGGGAGGAGCCCCUGCCCCAAGUGGAGGAGUUCAAGUACCUAGGAGUCUUGUUCACGAGUGAGGGAAGAGUGGAUCGACAGGCGGAUCGGUGCGGCGUCUUCAGUAAUGCGGACGUUGUACCGAUCCGUUGUGGUGAAGAAGGAGCUGAGCCGGAAGGCAAAGCUCUCAAUUUACCGGUCGAUCUACAUUCCCAUCCUCACCUAUGGUCAUGAGCUUUGGGUCAUGAUCGAAAGGAUAAGAUCACGGGUACAAGCGGCCAAAAUGAGUUUCCUCCACCGGGUGGCGGGGCUCUCCCUUAGAGAUAGGGUGAGAAGCUCUGACAUCCGGGAGGAACUCAAGGAAAGAGAAGAGACUCAGAAAUUAUUCUUUGUUAUUAUUAUUAUUUCAGUCGGUUAAGGAAAUUAAAUAUAUAUGGAAGUCAGAAUAGAAGUGAGAAACGUUUAUGUAUACUGCAAGAAAGACUUAGAGUCCGUCUGCUGAUCUGAAAAAGAGCCAAAGCUUUCAAAGAGCUGAGGGACCAUCUCCAAAGUGCAAUGCUGAAACCAAUAAUGCAAACAAUAAAAUGUAACUUCUAUAGGGCUUGAAAUUAAUGAUGUCCCGUCGUCCCGGGGAUGGUAAAAAAAAAAUGCACGGGACGACAAUGGCUUUCAACCAUUUUUUUCUUUUUCUCUUUAUGUAUUUAUUAAUUUUACAUUUUAUUUUAAAUGUCUUGGAUUUUCCUCCCUAUGAAAAUCCUAUGAAAUGUUUAACAAGCCAUCUUAUAAUAAUACAACAGCUAUUAAUGUAAUGUUGGAUUUGGUUGUCUUUUUAUUUCCUAGUCAGAUUUUAGGACAGCUAAAGUGUGAGGCUUUCCAUAGUCCUUGAAUUUGGAAUGUAGGCAUGAAGCCAUAACAAUCUGUUAUCUCAACUGUCCGAGGAAGGAGGGAGAAACUGCCAUUUUUAGGUUAGAUCAAUUUGGGCCAUGCAUUGAACUGUUGUAUCUAGAUUGAUCUCCCAAAGCGCUUUGGAUAUAAAAUAUCAAAAUGAGCAACCUCUGUCUCUGAUUGAUUUAAAACCAGUUUAUGUGUCAUAAAAAAAAAACCUGGGGGCCAUUGACUGAAGGAAAAAACAGGUCUAAAACGCAACAAUAACAAACCAAUGCAAUAAAACAAAUAUAUUUUUAA